UUCGACACGUGGUGGCCGUAUUGGGCUGUAUGUAGCUAGACCCUGCGGCUUGCUCUUUUAACUGCUUGUGAUUGAGUGGCAGCGUGAGCGAGCUCUGCGUAUUCCACCCCAGCGUUAAGAAUCCUUCCCUAGCUUCUCUUCCCGACUCUGCUUAUUUAUCUAUCGGUAGCAGGACGGGUAAUUGACGCCCUCGGAUGGCUUUGAGGUCGCCAUUUUUGGUUGGUGUCUUUGUCAUGGUGUCAGGACCGGGAUAUCAUCUGGGACACAUUACCCCAUAGACACCCUGUUCGACCUCAACGAGGAAGCUGGCAGCACAGGAACUGGGAGAAGAGAGAGAUUGUUAGGUACCCACAGCCGCUGAGAGCCUGUAUUCCAACGCCAGGAGACGCCUGCUGUCCUGAGCAGUUGACAAGCGAGAACCACCGCUAACUACAACCGGAAGGAGUGGGUCCUCCCUCGCUCGCGCAGCCUCUCUUCCUCGCCACUGCCUCGACUCCCGCCAGCACCUUCCCAGCAAGCACUGCUCAUAUUUGCAUAUCAACUCACGUCCUUUUCUUUACUUCUAAAUAAAAAUCGAAAGGACACAGUCUAGAUUUUCCUUGUAAAGCCUUCCUUUCAAUUCAGAAGAACCGGAAUUCCCUCUUCGACUUCAGGAACGAAUAUGGAAUAAGGCGUUGCUUAGGUUUUGUGUUCACCUUUACCAAAAUAUGGAUUUGCUGACACUGCCACUCUGCUUUGGUAGCCUGCACGGCAAAAAGGGCUUCUGUCGUGAGUGGCACACGUAGAGUAACUCGAUUGCUCUUCGUGCGGAAUCGACAUCAAGAGAUUUCGGAAGCAUAAUUUUUUGGCAUUUGGGCAGCUGGUGAUCGUUGGUCCCGGCGCCCUU
Sapajus apella (tufted capuchin) is the source of this 886-nucleotide long non-coding RNA. RefSeq lists it as uncharacterized. Lineage: Eukaryota; Metazoa; Chordata; Mammalia; Primates; Cebidae. The transcript has 2 exons. The record is from RefSeq and is a predicted model, not a curated record.